CCUACGGGAGGCUGCAGUGGGGAAUAUUGCACAAUGGGGGCAACCCUGAUGCAGCGACGCCGCGUGAGCGAUGAAGUAUCUCGGUAUGGUAAGCUCCUUCAGUAGGGAAGAAAAUGACGGUACGUGACCAAGAAGCUCCGGCUAACUAGGUGCCAGCAGCCGCGGUAAUACGUAGGCGGCCAGGGUUAUCCGGAUUUACGGGGUGUAAAGGGAGCGUAGACGGUCCUGUAGGUCAGUUGUGAAAGUUCGGGGCUCAACCCCGGGAUUGGAUUUGAAACUGUAAGGCUAGAGUGUAGGAGAGGUAGGCGGAAUUCCUAGUGUAGCGGUGAAAUGCUUAGAUAUCACGAGGAACACCGAUUGCGAAGGCAGCCUGCUAAACGGCCACUGACAUUCAGGCUCGAAAGCGUGGGGAGCAAACAGGAUUAGAUACCCCAGUAGUC
RNAcentral lists this ribosomal RNA (440 nucleotides) under uncultured bacterium. RNAcentral describes it as "partial 16S ribosomal RNA". It matches the Rfam family "Bacterial small subunit ribosomal RNA", at positions 338 to 795 of the family's 1533-position model. The record is from RNAcentral.